CAGUCGCCGCGGUAAGACGGAGGGUGCUAGCGUUGUUCGGAAUCACUGGGCGUAAAGGGCGCGUAGGCGGCCUGUUAAGUCGGAUGUGAAAGCCCGGGGCUCAACCCCGGAACUGCCUUUGAAACUAGGUGACUAGAGUCUUGGAGAGGUCAGUGGAAUUCCGAGUGUAGAGGUGAAAUUCGUAGAUAUUCGGAAGAACACCAGUGGCGAAGGCGGCUCACUGGACGACUGUUGACGCUGAGGUACGAAAGCGUGGGGAGCAAACAGGAUUAGAUACCCCUGUAGUCCCUGUCUCUUAUAC
Molecule: ribosomal RNA, 301 nt
Filed under: uncultured bacterium
Lineage: Bacteria
Description: partial 16S ribosomal RNA
Rfam family: Bacterial small subunit ribosomal RNA
Source: RNAcentral